This 430-nucleotide ribosomal RNA is filed under the name uncultured bacterium. RNAcentral's name for it is "partial 16S ribosomal RNA". It matches the Rfam family "Bacterial small subunit ribosomal RNA", at positions 29 to 506 of the family's 1533-position model. The record is from RNAcentral.
AACGAACGCUGGCGGCAGGCUUAACACAUGCAAGUCGAGCGCCCCGCAAGGGGAGCGGCAGACGGGUGAGUAACGCGUGGGAACGUACCUUUUGGUUCGGAACAACUCCGGGAAACUGGAGCUAAUACCGGAUAAGCCCUAACGGGGAAAGAUUUAUCGCCGAAAGAUCGGCCCGCGUCUGAUUAGCUAGUUGGUGAGGUAACGGCUCACAAAGGCGACGAUCAGUAGCUGGUCUGAGAGGAUGAUCAGCCACACUGGGACUGAGACACGGCCCAGACUCCUACGGGAGGCAGCAGUGGGGAAUAUUGGACAAUGGGCGCAAGCCUGAUCCAGCCAUGCCGCGUGAGUGAUGAAGGCCUUAGGGUUGUAAAGCUCUUUUGUCCGGGAAGAUAAGGACUGUACCGGAAGAAUAAGCCCCGGCUAACUUCGU